RNAcentral lists this small nucleolar RNA (80 nucleotides) under Anas platyrhynchos platyrhynchos (common mallard). RNAcentral describes it as "Small nucleolar RNA SNORD81 (ENSAPLG00000020423.1)". Lineage: Eukaryota; Metazoa; Chordata; Aves; Anseriformes; Anatidae. The record is from RNAcentral.
UGGAACCAAAUGAUGAUUAAAACCUUAGCUUGAACUCUCUCACUGAACAGAGAUGAAAAUCUAAGGUCUGAGCUGUUCCA